GUGGGUGGAGUGGAGCGUGUGUGAGUGAGUGAGUGCUGAAAGUUUGGCCGCCGUGCCAUAAACUUUUGUCCUUUUUUCUACCUUUUUUCUAUCUUUCUAUUUUUUUUUGUAUACGGUUUGUUAGUUUAUUGUUGUUUGAAUUUUGUUAAAAGUGCACGCGCCAGGCGUCUGCUUCCUGUUGGAAGUAUGGCGGCGCGAAGUGCAUCUGAGCAGCGUUUUGGCUUUCUAACGAGGAAGCAUGGGAUUAAAAUAGAUUCACCUCUUUCAGUGGAGGAGAUCAGUUUGGCUGUGGGAGGUUUAAUUGGUCAUGACAAUGUUUUGUCUGCGUCUCGCAUGAACAGGGCAGUGGUUUUAUUCCUUGCUUCUGUUGAUUUGGUAAACGAAAUGGAGGAGACUGGGGUAGUGGUUGAGGAGGUUUUUCUCCCCGUUUUACCUUUGUCGAGCCCUUCAAGAAAAGUAAUGCUUUCUAAUGUGCCCCCCUUUAUUAGCAAUGAUGUGCUUACAGAGGUCUUAUCUCGUUACAGAAAAGUAGUAUCUCCCCCAAAAAUGAUACCGAUGGCAACCAAAUCUCCGCUAUUAAAGCAUGUUGUCUCGUUCCGAAGGUUCGCUUAUAUAAUUUUGAAAGAAGGGAGAACUUGAAAUCUCUCUGAAUAUUAAGGUGGAUGAUUUUAAGUACAUGAUUUAUGUGACCACAAAUACAAUGAAAUGUUUUGGAUGUGGACAGCUGGGGCACCUGGCGCGUAAUUGUCCAGAUAAGGUGAAACCAAAUAAUGUGAAUUUAAAAGAGGGUAUCCCCAGUGACGAAAGAUCUCAGGAAACACCCAAUACUGAGAAUGAUGAGGCACCUACGGGUGAGGAGAGUGAAGGUGCGGGUGAUGGGAAUGGUGAAGGAGAGGUAGCCCCUCCGGCUGAGACACCAGAAGAUGGUGACUCAAUGGAUCUCGUUUCGGAAUCUGAAAUGCCCGCUGCUUCGCAGGGUAAUUACACAGAUCUAGUGGAAUAAAUCUUUAAUGAAGUUAUUAACGAACAUAACCCUCCUAUAGAAACUGAAAAUGUUUUUUAAAUGCCGUCUAAGAAAAGGGGUCAUCCAGGCUCUAAAGGCAAAGCAAAGAAGAGUCUGACAGUUGAUGUGCCCGAUAGUGAGAGUGAUUAUGCAUCUGACUGUAGUGUUACCUGCAGUCUACGCACAAGUGGCUUUUCUCAACAGAAUUAGUGUCGAAGAUAUCAAAGCGUUUUUAACCAAAACCAAACAUGCUAGGAAUGUAAGGAUUGAUGAUCAUUUUGCAGAUGUUGAUCAGUUUAUUGGGCGGCACGGUGGUGUAGUGGUUAGCGCUGUCGCCUCACAGCAAGAAGGUCCUGGGUUCGAGCCCUGGGGCCGGCGAGGGCCUUUCUGUGUGGAGUUUGCAUGUUCUCCCCGUGUCCGCGUGGGUUUCCUCAGGGUGCUCCGGUUUCCCCCACAGUCCAAAGACAUGCAGGUUAGGUUAACUGGUGACUCUAAAUUGACCGUAGGUGUGAAUGGUUGUCUGUGUCUAUGUGUCAGCCCUGUGAUGACCUGGCGGCUUGUCCAGGGUGUACCCCGCCUUUCACCCGUAGUCAGCUGGGAUAGGCUCCAGCUUGCCUGCGACCCUGUAGAAGGAUAAAGUGGCUAGAGAUAAUGAGGUGAGAUCAGUUUAUUGCAAAGACCAAACUGUUUGUCAGAAGGGGGAUUUACCGAUCAAGAGGGCUUCCGUUUAAAAAAGAUACUGGGCAAGUUAAACGAUAGUGAUGUUAAAAAUCAAUUGUAAUUCUUCUCUAUGAUCAUUAUGUAUCUUAAGUUCUAUAUUUUAUAUUUCCUUUUGUGUGAAUUUCUACGGAGCCGUAGAGGGGACAUGGUGAAUAAAAAAAUAACAAAGCGUGGGAACGACUUAUAAGGCGUGUGCACGAGAUAUUAAUGCGCGCGCACGAGUUAUAACCCGUGCGCACGCUUUGCGUUAAGGCGUGCGCUCGGGUAGUCAAAAGUGAGGGGACGAGUUACAAAUCGUUCCCUCGCUUUCAUUAAGGCGUGUGCACGAGAUAUUAAAUCGUUCCCUCGCUUUCAUUAAGGCGUGAGCACGAGAUAUUAAUACGUGCGCUCGAGUUAUAAAGGCGUGCGCACGGGUUAUUAAAAAGUGAGGGAACGUCUUAAAACGCGUUCCCUCGGUUUAUAUCCAAGGCGUGGGAAUGAUAUCCUAUGUCGUUCCCUCGACUUAUUAAAAUAUUCCCACAAUAUCCUUGUUUUCGUUGAUCUCGUUGCCUACACACACACACAUACACACAGGCUGUAGGUCACCAUGGUAGCUCCGGAAAUACUAGACGCUAUUUUAUUCUAUUUUAAUACUGGACUCAGAUACACAGAAAUCCUCGAUGCACUUGCAUCCCAAUAUGGCUUUAUUAUCAGAGGUGUCAAAUAACGAAGUACAAAUACUUCGUUACUUUACUUAAGUAGAAAUUUUGUUACUUUCUACUUUACUGGAGUAAUAAUUUUUCAACCUACUUUUUAUCUCUACUCGUUACAUUUUCAAGCAUUUACUUUAACUUCGUUACGUUUAUAAUAGUCUCGUUACUUACAUUUCAUUGCGCCAAUCUUUAUAUUACUUAUAUUACUUUGUCCACCUAAUAAACUGCCACUCAGGGCACUCCAAGCACACAGCAAUCAGAGCUCUGACUUCAACACCGUUAGUAAAUUGCGGGCUCUCGUUCGUUUGUCAGGAGUGGAAUCCCCCCCACGAACCAUGCGGCAUUCUCUUUUCUGAGUCAGGUUAAGUUUACAAACGCAGUUAUGGUAUCUUGGUGGGGGUUAGUGAGUAAAGUGAGGUCUUAGCUUAGUAAACGUUAUAUUAGCUUGUAGUGUGUCGGCAUUCCAGCGGCCGCCCUUUCUCUCCUCGCCUGUGUUCAGCCUCGCAUUGCUGGAACACAAACAUUCUGUUGACUUCUCUCGGUGAGCCAGUAACUAGUAGGGAUGAGAAAGUGUUUUUCUUGCAUUUUAACUGGAACCUGCUGCCUCUACUGUACGUCCCAUAUGAAAAAGAGAAAAACUGUAAUUUUACAGUAGUGUUAGUGUAGCAUUCAUUCAUUCAUUCAUUCAUAGCAUUCAAAUACUGUAUUAUUACUGCUGUUUAGACAGUGAAUGCAAUGCAACUUUGGACACAAAAUGAUUGCCAGCAUACUGCAAAAAUAUUGCGUUAUACAAUAUUUUGGACAUUACAAUGCUGCAAUCUUUUCAAAUAAAUCGUAUUACUUUAGUUGUUUUUUCCAUCUGUGUGGAUCAGUAGGAUGGGGUGAUGUGGUCGAGACGUGUGUGUGUGUGUGUGUGUGUGUGUGUGUGUGUGUGUGUGUGUGUGUGUUUUAAUAUAUACAUUUUCAAUAAAAAUGUAUUGAUAACUUACUUCUGAGGUAUGAAGUUUUACACCAUUACAACACUUUCAGACAACAAGUCAUUAUUACUUGUGCUCCAUGAAACACAUUUUAAUGGGUCAGAAGAAUGUACUGUAUGUGGACUUCUAGGCUGCGCCUUUGUCCUUAAUAGCAUUUUUUCCUCUUUCAUUACUUUUACUUUUGUACUUUAAAGUAGUUUAGAAAUCAGUAUACUUUUUACUUUUACUUGAGUAAAAAGCUUCAGUUGAUACUUUUAGGGGAAACCGGGUAUGGUUGUAACACGGGGGGAGUUGUAACCACUAAUUCCACCAAUCAGGGAUAAGAUACAAGUCAUGUGGCAAUUAGAAUCUCUUCAUAGUUCCUUUUCGACCACGCAUGGACAUUUGGAAAUCGUUGGCGCAAGUUCUCACGGAGAGAAGUGAAAAAAACAAAGUCUGAGCUCAGGGAAGCCACCCAGUGAUCAUGAUGGAGAGUUAUGAUCACUCAGGAGGGAUUAAUCUAGUGUGUGAGUCCAGAGGCUGGAAACCUGAACCUGAGGUUGUGUGGCUGGACAGAGAAGGAGCCGCUCUGCCUGCUGAAGAUACACAGACACACAGAGACACCGAGACCUUCAGUGUGAAAAGCCGCACCACUGUUUAUGAUUAUAGCGACUCCAACAGAUAUUAUUGCAGACUUCUACAAGAACAUCACAUGAUGGAGACAGAGGUCAUCAUUAAUCGUAAAGUCUUUGAUGCUUGGAGGUGGGUUGUCGGUGUUUCAGUUUCAGCAUGUCUUAUUGCUGUCGGAUCGAUAGUAACUGCAGUUAUCUGUUACAAGAAAGGUAAUAUUUCAAUCAUUUUCCAUUGUAAUGUCUCCAGCUUCAAUCAGUUUAUCCCGGAGCUUUAGUCCACAGAUUCCCAGCCCUGGUCCCGGAGAAGCCCAUGUCCUACACAUUUCAGUGUUUUUCCUGCUCUAACACACUCACUUUAACUCAGGAAGAGCUGUUAAUGAGCUGAUCGUCUGGAUCAGGUGUGUUAGAGCACAGAGAACACUAAUAUAUGUGUCGGACAGUGGGUUCUCCAGGACCAAGGUAAAGAACCUGUGCUUUAGUCAGCAGUCCACAGGAGUCCAGUUGGCCGUGCUGUCUGUGAAGAGGAUGAUUUAAUUCAGUCCUGUCUCAAACUCUCACCUCUAUUUCUUAAUCUAUUCACUUCAAUUACCACAAACCCUUUCUGCAAAAGUGAAAAGUAAAAGGACAAGGAGGUUUACAGCACAUUUCACUUGAAAAAGUUAUGUAGUUAUACCUUAAAUUUUGAAGUUAAAACAAAAGCUCUUAAUUUAAAAUGUCAUCAGUGUUGUUUAACUUUAACUGAGCUUUGGUGAAUUUAAAAAAAAAAAACUUGGCACUUCUAAGGUAAAGUCAAACUCUCAGAUUAUUGGUUUAAACAUUGAUGACCAGAUCUGUUUUGAUAAGACCAAGGUAGCAGAGAAAUUCAAUAACUUCUUUUCAACCACUGCAUCAUCUCUGGAACUGCAGUUACCAUCCGGAUGUGGAAAAUACGGCCCUAAUCAUGUGUAUAAGUGCUAUGAACAGGUGCGUCUCUCUGGCUCUCAGUUCUCAUUUGAACCAAUCUCUGAGGAAUUCAUCCAAAAGACUCUCCUCAAUCUAAAUCCGAAUAACUGGACUGGAUCAGAUUCCCACACAUCUUUUAAAAGAUGGAGCUGAGUUCAUAACCUCUCCACUCACUCAUCUUCUAAAUCUGUCCCUUUCUACUGGUAAGAUCCCUUCUGACAUUAAGUCUGCUAAAAUUUCCCCGAUCUGUAAGAAACAUAGCAAAGCUGAAGCUGGCAACUAUCAUCUGGUCUCAAUCCUCAGUAUUGUAAGUAAGGUUUUGGAAAAAGCUGUAUCUGUACAACUUAUUAAUUAUCUCACAGAUCACAGGCUCAACAAGUUGUCUCUGCACCUUGGCAAGACAGAAUCCAUACAGUACUUUUUGGCUCCAAACACAGACUUAAUAGUAACGAAUCUCUGGACAUCACAUGUAAUGGUCAAAAAAUUACCAGUAAAUCCUGUGUUAAAUACUCAGGCGUUGAUUUAGACCAGUCUCUUAGUGGUAACCGUAUAGCUGAAAAUAUUAUACGCAAGGCCAACGCCAAACUCAAGCUUCUAUAUAGGCAGGCCAGGAACCCCGAUAAGGGGUGUGUGUGUGUGUGUGUGUGUGUGUGUGUGUGUAUAUCAAAUACUCUGUGUGUGUGUGUGUGUGUGUGUGUGUAUAUCAAAUAUACUGUGUGUGUGUGUGUGUGUGUGUGUGUAUCUCCAACCAAAAGUGGCUGCAGUGAUUUAAAAAAAUAUAUACAGGGGUCACCAAACACACACUGUUUGUCCAUGAGCUAAUAUACGAGUGUACUAGUGAACUUCAGCUUACAUUCAGCAAAAUCCCCAGUGUUGAAUUAACACCCAGAGUGUUUAUAUAUGUCCAACUGGUCACAAAUUAACUCUGAAAGUGAUAAUUCAACACUGGGGAGCAGUAAUCAGGAGCUGGAACAACUGUGAGUUGAGAGCAUGUUGUUGUGUCUGUCAGCACUGCAUGCUACUGCUGCUGAUCCUCCACAUAGCCGAGCCACUGCCACAGUGGGCAGCUCUGAAGUUUCUCAGCACAGCAGUCACAGUGUUGCUGUCCAGUGCUUCUGUGGCUGACUGCAUUAUAGACGCAGCACUGCAGACUUAUUAAAGAGCUGCAGACAGAGAAAUCCAGAAAGCAGAAUUUAAAGAGAAUAUGAUCUUCAAAAACCAUAAACUGAUGGAUAAACACAAAACAGUAGAACAGAUGAUAUAUCAGUAAAUCCACAACUGAAUUCACAGAGAAUUUCAGCAAGGCUUCAGAUCACUCACGGUAUAUGAUAUUAUUUACUCUGGAAUUAAUUGACUAAUGUUUGUUUCUUUGUUUGUUAAAAUAAUGAACCUGUUUUCUCCUCAGAGCUUCAGAAGCAAAAAGCAGGGAAGAGUGAGCUUUUUGUCCUUUUAAAAUCACACUGAUUAAUUAAUUGAAAGAAACUUAAAGGUGUUGACUGCAAAGUCAUCUGAAAUUUUCAGGUUUUUUUUUUUUUUUUAAUCGUGCAUGGCAUUUUCCUGUGUCUUGCGAGAACAAGAUCACGUGGAUGAGAUGUGAUCAUUCUGAUGCGCUAAGGCGCUGUUUACACAUACCCGGGUAUUUUUAAAAACGCAUAUUUUCUAAACUCCGUUUUCCAAAAUAACUUCGUGCACACAGCUGCGUUUUUUUUUUAAUUCCGUUUAUAUUGAUCCGCAUAAAUACGCUGUCAAGAGCUGUUAAACUACGCGAGUGUGUGUGUGUGUGAGAGAGAGAGAGGUGUUUGUGUGUGUGAGCAGGGGCACCGCUAGAAAUCUUGGGCCCUAUGAAAGAUUACAAUUUAGGGCCCCCCCGGUAAAAUUUUCAAGCUCAAGCAACUGAAUUUGAAGUCUGUUUUUGGCUGGCACUUCUACUUUACUAUGCAUGUGAUCAGCUACCUAUCAAGUUUAGGUGAUACAAUUAUUUGGUAUAUGAACAUUUUAAAUGCAGAACUGUCAGAAUUAGACUGAAUAGACUGUUGCCUUAAAAUGAAAAUUCCAUGAUAUAUAUGGAAGAUAUAUAUAUUUUCCUUUUAUGAGCAACUAUUAUUAGGCCACUCAGUAGCCUAUGGAGUUCAUUCAAUCCAAAUGUUUGUGUUGAGAGAAAUUGCAUGCAUCACUGUAUCAGUAUGGAUUUAUAACAUUCUGUAUGCACAUUAUGGAUACUCCAGAGCCCUCCAGCAAACAUCAUCAAUAAUCAGGAUUACAAAAUGUAUUCCUUUGUUUCCUCCAUUUAUUGACUUAUUGUAUGUGAUCAAAUGUACGCCUUGAUGAAUAACUACACUAGUUUUUUGAUACAAUUACAGAGUGCACUGCAAGAAAUCCACUAAGUGUUUUUGGUUUCUUUUAGGCAUCACACAUUUAUUAGAAAACACAGCAAAUGUUCAAAUAUUCAAGUUAAAUACUUAGCAACAGUAUCAAUAAAUCCACGCAUGAACAAUAGCAAUGAUCUCUAUGACCACAGCUAAUGUGCAAAAUAUUAAAGUUAAAUACUUAACGAUAUCAACAAAUCCACACAUGAACAAUGGCAAAACACCUAGACUUAAUUAUACCUAAGAUACCUAUGAAAUAUACCAAAGAUACCUAUGAAAAAAGGUGAAUUUUUUUCACACACAGUGUGAUAUCCGGACUUCAUAAUUUAUCACACCUGCUCCUGCUUCGCAACUUCUAGAAUGUUCACCUCUGUUGCGCACGUAGAAAAACUGCCAGCUGCUGUGAGUUGCGCUAAUAGCGGCGCUGCGCACACACGGAGCUACACAUUUCACGCGUCCCGCGCCCAGAAUCAGACUGUACCAUUAGUAAAAAAGGGUGGAGGGGUGAAAUGACAAUAUCAUAAAUAAUUCAAGAAAAAUGUUAUAGCAAAUCAUAACCAUGUAUAAUUUGCAUAUUUUAACAGAUGAAAUAUUUUAUUUCAAAAACUUACACAAGGCAAUACUAUUAAAAUAAUAUUAAUAUCCCUCACAGGGCCCCCUGUCAGUGCCAGGCCCUUAGAAUCGUCCUAACUUUCCCCCCCUAGCGGCGCCCCUGUGUGUGUGUGAGAGAGAGAGAGAGAGAGAGAGAGAGUGUGUGUGUGUUCUGGCUCUUUUGGUCACCAGAAGCUCCGCAAUUGCUGCCCUCCGAGCCCUAAUGCGUCUCUGCUGGUCAAUGAGCUUUAUUCUCAAAAGCAAACAGGCGAAUAUAGCUCUUAAUAACAGAAAUGCUGCUACUCUGAGUGUUUCCAUGCUUGUCAUAUGUACAAUGGUCGCUCUUUUGUGGCACGAAGAUUGCCUAAAACUCCGUUUUGGUCUCUUUACACACAAACGCAAAACGGAGUUUUCAAAAAAUCUCCACUUUUGCCGGGGUUUUUAGAAAGAAUCGUUUUCAGAGGAAAAAACUCCGUUUGUGUAUAAACGAAAGGCACAAACGAAGGCAAAGGUCUGCGUUUUUAAAAAUACCCGGGUAUGUGUAAACGGCGCCUAAGAGUCACUUUUCUCCAUUUUGGAACUGUUUUCCUACUUCUUGAGGUAAACAGUACGACCCCACGGAAACAGCCGAAUGUGAGGAGCUGUUUAAUUAGCAUAACUAUGGAACUGCGUCACGCCAAGAUCACACAGAAAACACUGAGGCUACAUCCACAUGACAGUGGCAACGAGAUUUUUUUAAAAAAAUAUCGCGUCCACAUGGGCAACGGAUCAGUAAAAUAUCAGGUACAUAUGGCAAUGCAGCGCUUGCUGAAAAUGAUGCAAUACACAUGCCACACCUCUACGUGCGCUGUAAGAUGGUCCCAUCGGAGACACCAGAACAAUAGAAGAAGUACGGUGCAUGCGCAUAAACCCCUUCUUCUACCCGGCGUCAUAGACAUAUAAACACAGACGCCGCAUUGAGCCUGGUGGCCUGUUGUUGGGAUACGUCAGAGUGUCCGCCAUAUUGGAUGUGGCAAAUCUUCCCCGUAAACCAAUGCAAGUAAAUGGACUGAACUUCAUAAAGCCCCUUUCUAUAAUAAUGUUUACCUCGAUGCCUUUUAUUCACCCAUUAAGAGACACACGUAUAUAUUUGGGAAACAAACAGGCAUCAAAACAACAUGUAUAACUUUUAAUGUGAUGGUUAUAAAUAGUGUGCGAAAUACCCGUCAAUAUUCCGUGGGAGGUGUGACCUAAAUUUCCUCAACAUGCAGCAGGCCUAUACCGGAAUCAAGCUAUCAGAAACUUUUGUUUUUUUUUAUUCCGCUGCUACUAUCGUAGGCUACUAAUGAUAGCUACACAUCAAGGCAUGUUUUGGAGCUCAGCAGGGAUCGUGUAGAAUAAUGUGCUGUGCUUACGCUGCUGAAGCCGUGCCGUCUCCGCAUCACUUUCAUUAAACGCCGUGCAGAUAGGCUAUAAAAUGUCUCCAAAAACAAUUUUUGCAAUAUACAGUGCUAUAUGGAAAAAAUUCAAUUAAACCAUAUUACAAUGGGAUUGCUCCAUGUGAUUGCUUCACAGUCUGACAUGCUUCCAAUCUCUUCUAUUUUUGAGUGUGCCAUCACCAUCUGACAGCUGGUGGUGAAAUUGGUUGGGUGGGCUAUGAAAUAAAUUAUAAAUUUAUUUAUAAAUUAUAAAUUGUUUGGAGACAAGUUUCACCGAGCGGCUAUUAUGCGCGAGACUUCAUAUUAGCCACAAAGUCAGAAAAAUCUGUUCGUAAAAUUACGUUAUAAUGACCAAAUACAAUGAAAAGUAUUUUUCCAGUCUCACCUGUGAAAGGUAAUCCCAUGUGAUCUCGUUUGGACGGUAAACCUGUUGGUACAGUUAAACGCAGCACAUGAAUGAGGCAUCUUUAUUCUCCGCUUUGCCCCAUCCAAUAUGGUGGCGAGGAUGACGUAUGAUUCUACGCGGAAGGCGGCGUCUAUGUUUAUAUGUCUAUGCCCGGCGUGAAGCACUCACAGUCAUGUGGUUGUGACGUCAUCGUAAACAAAUCCGUUCUACUCAUCCAGACGACUUCGCAACGGCGCCGUUGCCAGAUCUUUCCACUCUGGAACCCGUUCUCAAAAGAUUUCGUUUUGGGGCACCCAAAACGCCGGUGCCGUGUGGAUGCCAGGCCAAAACGAUAAACAAUUUUAUCAGAUUCACCUGAAUCCGUUGCCGUGUGGACAGGGCCUCAGUCUACAUCGACCUCAGAGAGUUUUGAGUAACAGGGAUGUAAUUUGUGGUUGAAUAGAAGCUAUUCGCGAAUGUCAGUCACAUGACUUUUGCUUGUGAGUUUACUUCGGGGUGAAUGAAGUGGUGGUCAGACAAACCAAUUUGGCUGCCAUUUUGUAAAGAGCUAGUGAAGCCGUCUCUGAUUAUUUUUGCAGUUCAGAGGCCAAUACACGGUCAAGAUACCUUCAGAAAGUUGCUGUUUGCAAUGGGAUAGAUCCUAACUCGCAAGUAAAGAAGGAUUUUUCCUCUGAGUUGGAAAAUUAUCCAUCCAUUGAGUUCCCCAACAUCUCAAACACCCUGGUGCUGCAGACAUCGUUCUACACAGACAAACCGAUGAAAACCUGGAAGAGCAUGGAGGAGAACAACUUUUUAUAUGUUGUUGGGUUAAGGAUCUGGGGAUCAGGACACUACAGUAUAAAUCCUGUAUCAUUUAUGCCCGGGUAAGGAGGAAUUUUGUGGCUUUUUGUACCCAUCUUUGCGAUGGUUGCUAGGACGCUACAAGUUUUAGUAUGGGGUGUAAACAAACCACAGCCACUUGAUUCUCAAUCCUCCCUGCUCUUCUCUUCCAGCAAACAAUACAUUUUUUUUUAUUAAAACAGAGAAAGUGCAAUGAGAAUAAAUAAAUGCUGCAUAUUGUCAAGAUUGUGAGGACAUCCUGAUAAAUAAAGUGGAAACAUAUGUAUUAGUUUACAAUAUGGAGACCACGAUCAAACAGUAACCAAAAACACACCUGAGGACUGAAGCAUCUCCUCAACUUCAGAACACCAAGAAAUAACAGAAAAUGGUGAGAAGAGUCAUUUGCGAAUCCAAACAAAAUAAAUCCGAGGAAUUUACCAACCUUUCCCAAAGUGAUCACUGCAAACUGGAGCGUUCUUCGUCUCUGUUCCCAUCGAUUGCAAUGAAACAUUAAAGAGCCGCCUCUCUCAUCGUCUUUUGAUAAAAUCCUUUGCUCUUUCACCCUUUAUCACUUCACGGGGAACCCAGAAGAAAUUUAUCAGUUGCAUGGUUUGUUCGAUUUGAGCAGCCCAAAACAAUGCAAGUGUCGGGCAUUUUAACGACUCGCAAGGUGCCCCAGUGAUAGUAACGCUUUGUAAACAGUGAGCUUCGCUGACCACCACUUCAUGUCUUGCAUAUCUAAUGAGGCGGAUGUGAUGUCGGAUGCAAGCAACCUAUAGAUCCGUGAAACAAAAGAGGAAUCUCUCUUUUCUCUGUUACUGUUUUCCUCAUUUCUUUCUCUGUAAGACCAAAACAUUAGGUGUAUAACUCCAUAUUCGCUACCAUGGAGUCGAGCCCACUCAUUCUAAGGCUAAGAUCGCUAAGCGCUAGCUAGAAUAAUUUAGUUAUCUGUCCAGAAAAAUGAUGUCAUCUAAUCUUGCUCUAUCUUGCAGUUGCACUCACUAGGCAGAAUUUCCUUUUCUUUUCCGCUGGCUUUUAGCUGGAGGGAGAGUCGAGUCCACCAUGUUUGCCCACACUGACUUGUUUUGGUUAAAAGUAGGUCAGACACACCCCACAGUGGUCACGUGAUAUUGUUGCUCACUUGCGUUGGCAGUCUCUGGAAUCAUAAAAUGCGGGACACUUUUUAUCUCGGCAAAACAUUUACAUACAGGAUACACGGCGUGUGCAGCAGCGAAACAUCUCCAAACUCCAACAGCAGCAGAAAUAAAACAUUUUAGCCAGAAUUCAACUUUGUAGUCAGAGCCUUGAACAGACCACAUUAUCCUGAUCAAAUAUAAUCACAAAGGUAACUGGGAGGUUGUUACACUGUUUGGGCCUCUGACUUAGAGACACAGUUUAACAUGGUGAAGGUUCAUGAGAAGGUGCAGAUCAGAGCAGAGGGCAGAAAUUACAGCUGCUUCUCGUGAUUAAUGAAAUGAAUGCUACCAGAUUAUGGGCAGCUCAGGUCAUGUAUCCAGAUUUGGACAACAGGAAGUAAACAGGAAGCAAACAGGAAGGAGGUUUAUGGAGUGAAAUCAGCGUUAGCAGAACCCGAUAUUAUACUACAUCAUUUUAUUACGACCUGAAUUCUUGAAACCAGAAUUUCUGAAACCUUGAAUUUUGUAACCUAAAUUUUCAGUGUCAGAAUUUCAGAUGGUUUAAUUUAGGACAAAUAUAUUCAAAUAUCUUAAGAUUCACACUCUCACUUUUCAA
This is a long non-coding RNA of Neoarius graeffei (lesser salmon catfish), 12297 nucleotides long. RefSeq lists it as uncharacterized. The record is from RefSeq and is a predicted model, not a curated record. Lineage: Eukaryota; Metazoa; Chordata; Actinopteri; Siluriformes; Ariidae. The transcript is spliced from 3 exons.